CCUACGGGAGGCAGCAGUGAGGAAUAUUGGUCAAUGGACGAGAGUCUGAACCAGCCAAGUAGCGUGAAGGAGGACUGCCCUGUGGGUUGUAAACUUCUUUUAUAAAGGAAUAAAACGAGGCACGUGUGCCUUUUUGCAUGUACUUUAUGAAUAAGGAUCGGCUAACUCCGUGCCAGCAGCCGCGGUAAUACGGAGGAUCCGAGCGUUAUCCGGAUUUAUUGGGUUUAAAGGGAGCGUAGAUGGGUUGUUAAGUCAGGUGUGAAAGGUUGCGGCUCAACCGUAAAAUUGCAAUUGAUACUGGCAGUCUUGAGUACAGUUGAGGUAGGCGGAAUUCGUGGUGUAGCGGUGAAAUGCUUAGAUAUCACGAAGAACCCCGAUUGCGAAGGCAGCUUACUAAACUGUGACUGACAUUGAUGCUCGAAAGUGUGGGUAUCAAACAGGAUUAGAUACCCGAGUAGUC
RNAcentral lists this ribosomal RNA (460 nucleotides) under uncultured bacterium. RNAcentral describes it as "partial 16S ribosomal RNA". It matches the Rfam family "Bacterial small subunit ribosomal RNA", at positions 338 to 795 of the family's 1533-position model. The record is from RNAcentral.